Long non-coding RNA from Herpailurus yagouaroundi (jaguarundi), 416 nucleotides. RefSeq lists it as uncharacterized. NCBI's taxonomy places the organism in Eukaryota, Metazoa, Chordata, Mammalia, Carnivora, Felidae. The transcript is spliced from 2 exons. The record is from RefSeq and is a predicted model, not a curated record.
GCCAGAUGUCCAGGAAAACAGCAACCCCCUUUCGGAGCGAAGAGCCCAACAGGGGCUUAGCUCAGGACACACGGUUCUGGGAAGAGAAGGUCCCAGGGCUGCUUGCAUCCGGGUGCACGUGUGCCCGAUGUGCAGAGGACUCAAGAUCCAAUUCCAGAACCAGAGACGGGCUGUCGCCUGGCCCCUGUGGACCCAGAGCCUCCUGCCUUCCUCCAGCCCCUGCAGACUUGCUCGGGGUGGUCACUGCGUGUUCCCGCUUGGGCUGAGGUGUUGGGUGAAGAGUCCUUCCCUCGCGAGGGACACCGUUUCCUAACUGGAAACUUUACGAAGCUGACAUUUGGCAAGAGAGUCAUUUCUCCCGCAAACGGUCACCCAUUGCAGUUCAUGGAAGCGAAAAUGCGACUCACGUUUCGCUU